CCCACCUCCACCUGGACCCAGUGUAGACAAACAGGUGUCCCUACUCCACCUCCACCUGGACCCAGUGUAGACGGG
Molecule: microRNA precursor, 75 nt
Organism: Chlorocebus sabaeus (green monkey)
Lineage: Eukaryota; Metazoa; Chordata; Mammalia; Primates; Cercopithecidae
Source: Ensembl